CAGCAGCGCGGUAAUGCGUAGGGUGCAAGCGUUAAUCGGAAUUACUGGGCGUAAAGCGUGCGCAGGCGGUUUGUUAAGACAGAUGUGAAAUCCCCGGGCUCAACCUGGGAACUGCAUUUGUGACUGGCAAGCUAGAGUGUGGCAGAGGGGGGUGGAAUUCCGCGUGUAGCAGUGAAAUGCGUAGAUAUGCGGAGGAACACCGAUGGCGAAGGCAGCCCCCUGGGCCAACACUGACGCUCAUGCACGAAAGCGUGGGGAGCAAACAGGAUUAGAUACCCCGGUAGUCCCUGUCUCUUAUACA
RNAcentral lists this ribosomal RNA (301 nucleotides) under uncultured bacterium. Its description in RNAcentral is "partial 16S ribosomal RNA". It matches the Rfam family "Bacterial small subunit ribosomal RNA", at positions 509 to 808 of the family's 1533-position model. The record is from RNAcentral.